GCUUGUCCCGUCCCGCUACGGCACGUCGCAACGCGCCGCGUCGUCGUGGUAAAGCGCGCACGUAGGCACGCGUUCGGCUAUGCUCGUCCCGAACCCGAGGCGACCCGAAGUGACCCGAGGCAACUCGUCACGAUUCCGACUACAACUUCGACUCCGAUUCGCGCUCGUUUCGAUCGUACUGUUGCCUCUUUGCCUGUUUUACACCGCCCGUAUGAUGCCAUCGACUGCUGCAAAGAGGUUCACGGAUUCAGAACCUGCAACCACUUGAACGGCACCAUUCGCACCCUUGAUGAUGAGUCGCGAACGCGACUUAAGCGGCUGCCGUGCAGCUGGCAGCAAAGCUUUUACACAGACGCAUUCGCGACACGUCGCCCGCACUCCCAACCUCCACCAACACUUGGCCGUUGCGUCAUCACGGUUUCACGGUGCGCUGGGAUUCGACGGGAGGAGAAGGCGCGCGAGCGCGCAAACGGGACCACUGCGAGAGCGACGCAUCUGUAUCGCUCCGCUUGCACUUAUUACAAAUCCGCCAGUGAUACUCAACCUAAUUUAAACUUCACGCGAGCGUGAUGUGUCGGCGCAACGGUAUGGCUCUGAGUUAAACGUAGAUUGGUAUCUACGAUCAAUUUUUUAUUUUUGUUUUCUUUUUUCUUUACACAUGAUAUUUGUCUGAAACCGAAUGUUUGUAUAUAGGUUAACACUAUUAAAGCAGAUCGGUUUAUCGUAAUUGGAUAUGUUAAGGUAAAUUAUAUAGAUCAAAUACUAUUAUUCUAAACUGCAUAUGAAUUUAAACGGCUUAAUAUUGAAUCACGGUUAUGUUUCAUAUUGCCAAUAUAAUUCAUGGAAUAACGUUUGAACAUAAUAGCAAAUUAGCAUAUAUCAGCAUAUUUUAAACGUGAAUAGAUUAAAUAAAUUCUAAAGAAUAUCUAUAGCAUCCAGAUUAUAGCAGAUCAGUUGAAAAACUUGUUUACGGUAGAUAUUUUUAAUUACUGCAUAGAAAAGAAAAUAACAAAUCAAAGUGAUCAUUGGCUUAUUAAUAGUACAUCUAACUUGAAAAUAGAGUCGACCAUGUUUUGCUUCUCAUUAUGGUUAGAUACAUUACGAUCAGGUGCUCCAACGUUCGAAAGCGAUAAUUUGCGCUUAACUUCGACCUGCGUAUAAAGUAAUUAUCGCGGUUAGAUCGAAUACGAGCCAAGCGCGAUGAUUAAGGAUCGAAGAUUCACUAGAGCGUCUGUUCACUAAUGUUAGUCGGUGAUAUGCAUCUUCGAAACGAGAGGCAAUAUUAACAACGCGGAUGUCGCGUGCAGAUAUUGUACGAAUAUCACGACAAGCUAGAAUGGCGAGGUGGCAUUUGUAAUUAAAUGUCCGACACGGUAUCAUAAAGACGGGCCUCAUAUCACGACAUCACCCGCGCAAUUGAUGCUCGUCCGCUGCAUUCUUUGCAUGCUAGAUUCCGCGUGUUGCAUUUCAAUUAAUACGAAUGCCGGACCAGACAAUUUUAACGAUACUUUGGUGACUUAAGUCUGUGAAUAUAAACUGGUGUAUUUAUUCUCGUUUUAUCAAGAAAAUUAAUCCUCCAUAAGCAAGCUAAUCCGUUUAUGGUUCAAGUGAAAUUUCUCUAUGUAUUUCAUUUUUUUCAAAAGGAUUUUCAUCGUGGUCUUGGUUAAAAAAUUGUUCCAAAUAUUUGAUUUAGAGAAUGAAAGAUAGGGCAAUGGAACAUUUGAAAGAGUGAUUUGUUUUUCUUGAAAUUUUCUUUUCCCAAAAUUAGAGUUCUAUCUUAACGUAAGUUACAUACUUACUUAUAGUUUGCAUACUUACUUACUGAUAUCAACUUAGAGUUCAUUUAACGUUUUUAAUUGGAAAAACAAAUUUUACGAGCUGAACCAUGUAAGUAAAUGAUAUAAGCGAUGAGUUUUCGUUGAAUCAAGGGGUAAUCAGGAUUGCUCUUGGAAGUAAUGCGGGCUUCAAUUAGUGAAGAAACUGUGAACAGUUUAGUUCGCAAUGUAUUACUCUGGUAUCGAAAUGGUCGAUAUUCUCGUCAACAAUAGGGGAACAUAGAGAAAAAUACGAACCGAUUUAGGGAUAUAAUACAGAUAAGGGGAGAUCAGGACGCGAGAAAACCAAAGACAAGGGAAAGAAACUUGGAUGCGGUGACGGAGCGAUAACGAUAUGUGUCUGACUAUGAAACAUAUAAGUUACAAGAUGAAAUAAUAUGCUAAUAGUACAAGGAAUUAAAUAGAUACAAAUUUUUAGUAAUAUCAUACUGAUUAUGAAGUAACUUCUUAAUUUCUUAAAAGACGCUCAUUGUUUUAACGCUGACAGUUUCUCUUUGAUCAUUCGUUUUAACAUAGAGAAGAUUAUUUUUAACGUAUAUGACAAAUAUUUAUAAGUGUAUGAGUUUACCGAAACGAAUACAUAAAAUGAAUUUUUGUUUUUAAAAAAUCCCAAAAUAAUAUGGGCAAUUGAACAAAGCCGGUUAAAACACAGAAAAAUUUGAUUAUCCAAUUAAGCACAAUUUGAUUAUUCAUUUUUUAGAUAAACGUCUGUUCGUAAUUUAUGUGUUAAUACAUUGAUUGGACAAUUAAAUGACAUUGUCGUUAAUAAACAAUAAAUAUUUUUUUAUAGUAUAUGUAUUGAUGCACCAAGAAUUUAAUAUUCUAAAUUCAAUGGUAUUAUAGCAAUAGCCGAAACAAAUGUUAAAAAUAGGCCGGUUUAUAAGAACCACAGUGGCUUUGUAAUAAAAAAAUAUCAGCCAAACAUAAGACCGACGAACUAGCCAACUGAAGUUUUAAAUUAUUAAUAUUUUCCCAUUGAAACGUAAUCGUUAUUCAAAAAAGGUGUCAACCGUUCGACGAAUAGCUGCCACUUCGUGAUGUAACUUUUUCAAACAUCGAUCAGCAUUUCGCUUUCCCUUUAUAUUUAUUUACUUGAAUUCAUAUCUAGCAUGUAACAUUUAAUAAAUAUGUCAGCGAAAAGAAUUUUGGCUGGAAAUAUACGUGAAAUGAUAACAAA
Long non-coding RNA from Bombus terrestris (buff-tailed bumblebee), 3012 nucleotides. RefSeq lists it as uncharacterized. The record is from RefSeq and is a predicted model, not a curated record. NCBI's taxonomy places the organism in Eukaryota, Metazoa, Arthropoda, Insecta, Hymenoptera, Apidae. The transcript is spliced from 2 exons.